Molecule: ribosomal RNA, 429 nt
Filed under: Chloroflexota bacterium
Lineage: Bacteria; Bacillati; Chloroflexota
Description: Chloroflexi bacterium partial 16S ribosomal RNA
Rfam family: Bacterial small subunit ribosomal RNA
Source: RNAcentral
UGGGGAAUAUUGCACAAUGGGCGCAAGCCUGAUGCAGCCAUGCCGCGUGUGUGAAGAAGGCCUUCGGGUUGUAAAGCACUUUCAGCGGGGAGGAAGGCGUUAAGGUUAAUAACCUUGGCGAUUGACGUUACCCGCAGAAGAAGCACCGGCUAACUCCGUGCCAGCAGCCGCGGUAAUACGGAGGGUGCAAGCGUUAAUCGGAAUUACUGGGCGUAAAGCGCACGCAGGCGGUCUGUCAAGUCGGAUGUGAAAUCCCCGGGCUCAACCUGGGAACUGCAUUCGAAACUGGCAGGCUAGAGUCUUGUAGAGGAGGGUAGAAUUCCAGGUGUAGCGGUGAAAUGCGUAGAGAUCUGGAGGAAUACCGGUGGCGAAGGCGGCCCCCUGGACAAAGACUGACGCUCAGGUGCGAAAGCGUGGGGAGCAAACAGG